RNAcentral lists this ribosomal RNA (443 nucleotides) under uncultured bacterium. RNAcentral's name for it is "partial 16S ribosomal RNA". It matches the Rfam family "Bacterial small subunit ribosomal RNA", at positions 338 to 795 of the family's 1533-position model. The record is from RNAcentral.
CCUACGGGUGGCAGCAGUGGGGAAUAUUGGGCAAUGGGCGCAAGCCUGACCCAGCAACGCCGCGUGAAGGAAGAAGGCUUUCGGGUUGUAAACUUCUUUUCUCAGGGACGAAGAAAGCGACGGUACCGGAUGAAUAAGCCACGGCUAACUAUGUGCCAGCAGCCGCGGUAAUACGUAGGUGGCAAGCGUUAUCCGGAUUUAUUGGGUGUAAAGGGCGUGUAGGCGGGGGCGCAAGUCAGUUGUGAAAACUCAGGGCUCAACCCUGAGACUGCAUUUGAAACUGUGUUUCUUGAGUGCUGGGGAGGCAAUCGGAAUUCCGGGUGUAGCGGUGAAAUGCGUAGAUAUACGGAGGAACACCAGUGGCGAAGGCGGAUUGCUGGACAGUAACUGACGCUGAGGCGCGAAAGCGUGGGGAGCAAACAGGAUUAGAUACCCUUGUAGUC